UACGGGUGGCAGCAGUGGGGAAUAUUGCGCAAUGGGGGAAACCCUGACGCAGCGACGCCGCGUGUAGGAAGAAGGCCUUCGGGUCGUAAACUACUGUCAGGAGGGAAGAAACUGUUUAGGUCGAAUAGGCCUAUUCACUGACGGUACCUCCAGAGGAAGCACCGGCUAACUCCGUGCCAGCAGCCGCGGUAAUACGGAGGGUGCGAGCGUUAAUCGGAAUCACUGGGCGUAAAGCGUGCGUAGGCGGCGCAGCAAGUCAGACGUGAAAGCCCUCGGCUCAACCGAGGAAUUGCGUUUGAAACUGCUGGGCUUGAGUCUCGGAGAGGUUGGCGGAAUUCCAGGUGUAGGAGUGAAAUCCGUAGAUAUCUGGAGGAACACCGGUGGCGAAGGCGGCCAACUGGACGAGUACUGACGCUGAGGUACGAAAGCGUGGGGAGCAAACAGGAUUAGAUACCCUAGUAGUC
Molecule: ribosomal RNA, 464 nt
Filed under: uncultured bacterium
Lineage: Bacteria
Description: partial 16S ribosomal RNA
Rfam family: Bacterial small subunit ribosomal RNA
Source: RNAcentral